Molecule: non-coding RNA, 338 nt
Organism: Peromyscus maniculatus bairdii (prairie deer mouse)
Lineage: Eukaryota; Metazoa; Chordata; Mammalia; Rodentia; Cricetidae
Source: RefSeq, a predicted model, not a curated record
UGGCGGUGGUGCACACCUUUAAUCCCAGCACUCGGGAGGCAGAGCCAGGCGGAUCUCUAGGUGGCAGUGCUGUCCCACCAGAAGUCGCUCCCUGUAGCCAUCAGGCAGGCCAUGGAUCCAGCUGCAAGGACGGGGAGUCACCGUCACCAAGGCACACCACCUACGCUAUGUCAUGAUAAACAUACAUAGUGUGGAGGUCCUGGCUCUCCAGCAGGAGUGAGGACUCCGGCGACCCAGUUUAAACAAAAUGGCUUCUUUCUGUGCUCAUCACCUGCCCUUCAGCCAGGCUGCCGCUGACAUUCUUCGGGCCUCUGCAGGCAACAAAAAAAGUAUGCAGU